RNAcentral lists this ribosomal RNA (2236 nucleotides) under Shouchella clausii. RNAcentral describes it as "partial 23S ribosomal RNA". It matches the Rfam family "Bacterial large subunit ribosomal RNA", at positions 698 to 2925 of the family's 2925-position model. The record is from RNAcentral. Lineage: Bacteria; Bacillati; Bacillota; Bacilli; Caryophanales; Bacillaceae.
AGUACGAUGCCGUAGACCCGAAACCGGGUGAUCUACCCAUGUCCAGGGUGAAGGUCGGGUAACACCGACUGGAGGCCCGAACCCACGCAAGUUGAAAAUUGCGGGGAUGAGGUGUGGGUAGGGGUGAAAUGCCAAUCGAACUCGGAAAUAGCUGGUUCUCCCCGAAAUAGCUUUAGGGCUAGCCUCGAGUGAUGAGUCUUGGAGGUAGAGCACUGAUUGGACGAGGGGUCCCCACAGGAUUACCGAAUUCAGUCAAACUCCGAAUGCCAAUGACUUUAACUCGGGAGUCAGACUGCGAGUGCUAAGAUCCGUAGUCAAGAGGGAAACAGCCCAGACCAUCAGCUAAGGUCCCCAAGUAUACGUUAAGUGGAAAAGGAUGUGGAGUUGCCCAGACAACCAGGAUGUUGGCUUAGAAGCAGCCAUCAUUGAAAGAGUGCGUAAUAGCUCACUGGUCGAGUGACUCUGCGCCGAAAAUGUACCGGGGCUAAACGUAUCACCGAAGCUAUGGCAAUCCCGUAUGGGAUUGGGUAGGGGAGCGUUCCAAGGACAGCGAAGCCAGAUCGUGAGGACUGGUGGAGUGCUUGGAAGUGAGAAUGCCGGUAUGAGUAGCGAAAAGAUAGGUGAGAAUCCUAUCCGUCGAAAGCCCAAGGUUUCCUGAGGAAGGCUCGUCCGCUCAGGGUUAGUCGGGACCUAAGCCGAGGCCGAAAGGCGUAGGCGAUGGACAACAGGUUGAUAUUCCUGUACCACCUCGUAUUCGUUUGAACGAUGGGGGGACGCAGAAAGGUAGGGUGAGCGCGCCGCUGGCUGUGCGCGUCGAAGCAUGCGAGGCUGGAACAUAGGCAAAUCCGUGUUCCGUAAGGCUGAGCUGUGACCGUGAAGGACCUUCGGGUCCGAAAUCCCUGAUCCUCCGCUGCCGAGAAAAGCCUCUAGUGAGAAUACAGGUGCCCGUACCGCAAACCGACACAGGUAGGCGAGAAGAGAAUUCUAAGACGCUCGGGAGAACUCUCGUUAAGGAACUCGGCAAAAUGACCCCGUAACUUCGGGAGAAGGGGUGCUCUAGUAGGGUUAACCGCCCGAGAGAGCCGCAGUGAAAGGAUCCAAGCGACUGUUUAGCAAAAACACAGGUCUCUGCGAAGCCGUAAGGCGAAGUAUAGGGGCUGACACCUGCCCGGUGCUGGAAGGUUAAGAGGAAGGGUCAUCCCAAAUGGUGAGAAGCUCUGAAUUGAAGCCCCAGUAAACGGCGGCCGUAACUAUAACGGUCCUAAGGUAGCGAAAUUCCUUGUCGGGUAAGUUCCGACCCGCACGAAUGGUGCAACGACUUGGAUACUGUCUCAACGAGAGACCCGGUGAAAUUAUAGUACCUGUGAAGAUGCAGGUUACCCGCGACAGGACGGAAAGACCCCAUGGAGCUUUACUGUAGCUUGAUAGUGAGUGUUGGUAUCAUCUGUACAGGAUAGGUAGGAGCCUUGGAAACCGGAGCGCUAGCUUCGGUGGAGGCGUCGGUGGGAUACUACCCUGAUGGUGCUGGCAUUCUAACCUCGACCCGUGAUCCGGGCCAGGGACAUUGUCAGGUGGGCAGUUUGACUGGGGCGGUCGCCUCCUAAACAGUAACGGAGGCGCCCAAAGGUUCCCUCAGAAUGGUUGGAAAUCAUUCGUAGAGUGCAAAGGCAGAAGGGAGCUUGACUGCGAGACCUACAAGUCGAGCAGGGACGAAAGUCGGGCUUAGUGAUCCGGCGGUGCCGUAUGGAAGGGCCGUCGCUCAACGGAUAAAAGCUACCCUGGGGAUAACAGGCUUAUCUCCCCCAAGAGUCCACAUCGACGGGGAGGUUUGGCACCUCGAUGUCGGCUCGUCGCAUCCUGGGGCUGAAGUAGGUCCCAAGGGUUGGGCUGUUCGCCCAUUAAAGCGGCACGCGAGCUGGGUUCAGAACGUCGUGAGACAGUUCGGUCCCUAUCCGUCGCGGGCGUAGGAAAUUUGAGAGGAGCUGUCCUUAGUACGAGAGGACCGGGAUGGACAUACCGCUGGUGUACCAGUUGUUCCGCCAGGAGCAUCGCUGGGUAGCUACGUAUGGACGGGAUAAGUGCUGAAAGCAUCUAAGCAUGAAGCCCCCCUCAAGAUGAGAUUUCCCAUGGCGUAAGCCAGUAAGACCCCUUAGAGAUGAUGAGGUUGAUAGGUCAGAAGUGGAAGCGUGGCGACACGUGGAGCGGACUGAUACUAAUCGGUCGAGGACUUAUCCUA